GGACAUAGCUGAGUGGUAAAACACUUGCUUUGCAUGCAUGAAGCUGUGAGUUCGAUCCCUAUUUCCA
Molecule: transfer RNA, 67 nt
Filed under: Marmota monax (woodchuck)
Lineage: Eukaryota; Metazoa; Chordata; Mammalia; Rodentia; Sciuridae
Description: tRNA.Ala
Source: RNAcentral